This is a long non-coding RNA of Hyalella azteca, 385 nucleotides long. RefSeq lists it as uncharacterized. The record is from RefSeq and is a predicted model, not a curated record. The transcript has 3 exons. Lineage: Eukaryota; Metazoa; Arthropoda; Malacostraca; Amphipoda; Hyalellidae.
CUCAUCAAGGUGAGACUGCAGCUCGUGUACCUCAACGAGCAGCUGUUCAUCAAGGUGAGACUGCAGCUCGUGUACCUCAACGAGCAGCUGCUCAUCAAGGUGCCCUUCCUGCAGCGCUUCCUGCCACACCUGCAGCUAUUCGGACGCAAGCAGCGGCGGCUGCUCGUCAAGAUCAACUCGUCGCCCUACAUUGGAGGGAUUAUUUACGACGACCAGAAGCAGUUCGUGUGCUACCUGGACGACCGCACGGUUGAAGUAAUCAGGAAUCACCGCCUCAACAGGAUCGCAGCUCAACGUGAAGAGCGCGUGAUCGCAGCUCAACGUGAAGCUCAGGAUGAGAUCCAAAAAAAUAUCGCAGCUCAACGUGAAGCUCAGGAUGAGAUCC